RNAcentral lists this ribosomal RNA (252 nucleotides) under uncultured bacterium. RNAcentral's name for it is "partial 16S ribosomal RNA". It matches the Rfam family "Bacterial small subunit ribosomal RNA", at positions 524 to 776 of the family's 1533-position model. The record is from RNAcentral.
UACGGAGGAUGCGAGCGUUAUCCGGAUUUAUUGGGUUUAAAGGGUGCGUAGGCGGAUCGUUAAGUCAGUGGUCAAAUUGAGGGGCUCAACCCCUUCCCGCCGUUGAAACUGGGGAUCUAGAGUGUGCGAGAGGUAUGCGGAAUGCGUGGUGUAGCGGUGAAAUGCAUAGAUAUCACGCAGAACCCCGGUUGCGAAGGCAGCAUACCGGUGCACAACUGACGCUCAGGCACGAAAGCGUGGGUAUCGAACAGG